UACGGGGGGUGCGAGCGUUGUCCGGAAUCACUGGGCGUAAAGGGCGCGUAGGUGGUCUGAUAAGGGUGUGGUGAAAGCCCGGGGCUCAACCCCGGGUCGGCCGUGCCGACUGUUAGACUAGAGUGCUGUAGGGGCAGGCGGAAUUCCGGGUGUAGCGGUGGAAUGCGUAGAGAUCCGGAAGAACACCGGUGGCGAAGGCGGCCUGCUGGGCAGUUGCUGACACUGAGGCGCGACAGCGUGGGGAGCAAACAGG
Molecule: ribosomal RNA, 253 nt
Filed under: uncultured bacterium
Lineage: Bacteria
Description: partial 16S ribosomal RNA
Rfam family: Bacterial small subunit ribosomal RNA
Source: RNAcentral